Molecule: ribosomal RNA, 301 nt
Filed under: uncultured bacterium
Lineage: Bacteria
Description: partial 16S ribosomal RNA
Rfam family: Bacterial small subunit ribosomal RNA
Source: RNAcentral
CAGUCGCCACGGUAAUACGGAGGGUGCAAGCGUUAUCCGGAUUUAUUGGGUUUAAAGGGUCCGUAGGCGGACUUAUAAGUCAGUGGUGAAAGCCUGUCGCUUAACGAUAGAACUGCCAUUGAUACUGUAAGUCUUGAGUAUAUUUGAGGUAGCUGGAAUAAGUAGUGUAGCGGUGAAAUGCAUAGAUAUUACUUAGAACACCAAUUGCGAAGGCAGGUUACCAAGAUAUAACUGACGCUGAGGGACGAAAGCGUGGGUAGCGAACAGGAUUAGAUACCCCGGUAGUCCCUGUCUCUUAUAA